This 280-nucleotide ribosomal RNA is filed under the name uncultured bacterium. RNAcentral describes it as "partial 16S ribosomal RNA". It matches the Rfam family "Bacterial small subunit ribosomal RNA", at positions 338 to 610 of the family's 1533-position model. The record is from RNAcentral.
CCUACGGGUGGCAGCAGUCGAGGAUUUUUCUCAAUGGGGGCAACCCUGAAGGAGCGACGCCGCGUGGAGGAUGAAGGGCUUCGGCUUGUAAACUCCUGUCACCGACGAACAAAGCGUCCGGGCGAACAUCCCGGACGAUUGAUGGUAGUCGGAGAGGAAGGGGCGGCUAACUCUGUGCCAGCAGCCGCGGUGAUACAGAGGCCCCGAGCGUUGUUCGGAUUUACUGGGCGUAAAGGGUGUGUAGGGGGUCGGGUAAGUUUGACGUGAAAGCCCGCUGCUU